Molecule: unclassified non-coding RNA, 251 nt
Filed under: Hevea brasiliensis (rubber tree)
Lineage: Eukaryota; Viridiplantae; Streptophyta; Magnoliopsida; Malpighiales; Euphorbiaceae
Source: RNAcentral
GUAACUAUUGGAAGAUGGAUUGGGAAAACUCCUUGUAUUAAAAAAGCAACAACUUCGGUCUUCCAAAAUUAAGAGAAUAGAUAACAGGCGAGAGUAUUUCAACAAAUCCUUGAACUAACAAGAACUUAUAAAGAAAAAUAUGAAUUGGCAUAUCAUUGUUCAUCCUCAUUCAUCAACUUGCAAGUUACUACCGAACUGAAAUUAUAAUAAGUUUUCUAUUCAAAUCUGCAACAGGAAUUAAGUGGUAGAAC